RNAcentral lists this ribosomal RNA (482 nucleotides) under uncultured bacterium. Its description in RNAcentral is "partial 16S ribosomal RNA". It matches the Rfam family "Bacterial small subunit ribosomal RNA", at positions 30 to 507 of the family's 1533-position model. The record is from RNAcentral.
AUUGAACGCUGGCGGCAUGCCUUACACAUGCAAGUCGAACGGUAACAGGUCUUCGGAUGCUGACGAGUGGCGAACGGGUGAGUAAUACAUCGGAACGUGCCCUAUCGUGGGGGAUAACGAGGCGAAAGCUUUGCUAAUACCGCAUACGAUCUACGGAUGAAAUCGGGGGAUCUUCGGACCUCGCGCGGACGGAGCGGCCGAUGGCCGAUUAGGUAGUUGGUGGGAUAAAAGCUUACCAAGCCGACGAUCUGUAGCUGGUCUGAGAGGAUGAUCAGCCACACUGGGACUGAGACACGGCCCAGACUCCUACGGGAGGCAGCAGUGGGGAAUUUUGGACAAUGGGCGAAAGCCUGAUCCAGCCAUGCCGCGUGCAGGAUGAAGGCCUUUGGGUUGUAAACUGCUUUUGUACGGAACGAAAAGCCUCUUUCUAAUAAAGAGGGGUCAUGACGGUACCGUAAGAAUAAGCACCGGCUAACUACGUG